GCCACAAGUAUGUAUCUAAACCUUUAAUAAUUUUCAUAACUAUUCCCACCUCUUACCAGUUCCUGGUUCCAAUUCGAGAAGAUCAGAUCGACUAUGUGAAUCCCUUUUAUCUAUGUGAUUAGCGUUAGUUUCUCAAACAUGUAUGUGUCAUUUUCUAUUCCCUCCGUACCAGAGAUGAGUUCGGCUUCCAAAUUGUUCGAUUAUAAGAGUUUUAGAUCUGCAGAAUUGAGUUCGAGUGAAGCAGAUCUGAGGUGAAUUUCCGGUGAUCCCGCCUCGUAUUGCGACCAGAAAAGGCACCACACUGAGGACAGUGAUGUUAACUCUUUUAGGGACUCAAGUAGUGAUGUAAGCAGUGAUUACAACCUCCCAAAGAGUGAAAUUUUUCAGUGGUUGGAUCAGUUGUCGUUAAAUUACCAACACGUCCUUCAAGAAGGCUUCUCUAGUGAUGAGGGUGAAUCAGUAAGACUACAAAGUUGUCUUUCAUUUGAGUAUUUGGAGUGUAAUCAACCUUGGGGUCGGGAACCUUUGAUUGAUUAGAUACUUGAUCUUGUGCGUCGCUUCAUAGACUUGAAAAGCGUGAAAAGUUGUGACUUGUUUUCUUCUAGUUGGUUAUCUGUGGCUUGGUACCCAAUUUAUAGGAGUCCAAUGGGACCAACAUUGAAAGAUCUUGAUGCUGUUUUUUACCUUUCAUUCUCUUCAUACACCAAUCACAGGCUAUGGAUGUUUUCACAACCUCUUCGGCUAAGAGCAUUCGGUUGAAGGUGGCUGGGUUUGGCGGGGCGAAACGGACCUGCAGAAGUAUCAUUGGAACAACUGGGUCACUCGUAAAGUGAACUACCUAACAUGGAGGGCUGUGUUGGGGACGGGGUGUAUCGCUACUAAAGAAGCUUUGACGUGAAGAGGUUUGGCUUUAGAUAACACUCUUUGCGGCAGGUGUGAGCUGGUAAUUGAAGAUGUGAAUCACAUUUUUGUCGAUUGUUUAUCGGCUAGAAGUGUGUGGUGGCAAAUCUGUAGAUGGACUAAGGAUCAACCACAUUAUUUGUCACCUAUAUUAUAUAUUUAUAUCGAGUGGAAUUGCUUAAUGUUUUACUUGCUUCGUAAAAGUUGCAGUAUAAGCUUUUUCACUAGUAUAAGAAUGUUUUCACUAAUAAAAGAUAAAUUAUCAGCAUUCAUUUGUUAAGAUAUAUUUAUACAUAUGAUAGUUUAAGUGAGAAAUAAAUAUAUCAAUGUUAAAGUUUGUUUAUUUUAGUUGUAUAUAAUUUUGU
Molecule: long non-coding RNA, 1265 nt
Filed under: Helianthus annuus (common sunflower)
Lineage: Eukaryota; Viridiplantae; Streptophyta; Magnoliopsida; Asterales; Asteraceae
Description: hypothetical non coding rna
Source: RNAcentral